This 722-nucleotide ribosomal RNA is filed under the name uncultured bacterium. RNAcentral's name for it is "bacterial SSU rRNA". It matches the Rfam family "Bacterial small subunit ribosomal RNA", at positions 101 to 844 of the family's 1533-position model. The record is from RNAcentral.
AACGGGUGAGUAAUAUAUCGGAACGUCCUGGAGUGGGGGAUAACGUAGCGAAAGUUACGCUAAUACCGCAUACGAUCUACGGAUAAGUGGGGGAUCGCAAGACCUCAUGCUCGUGGAGCGGCCGAUAUCUGAUUAGCUAGUUUAGGGUAAAAGCCUACCAAGGCAUCGAUCAGUAGCUGGUCUGAGAGGACGACCAGCCACUGGAACUGAGACACGGUCCAGACUCCUACGGGAGGCAGCAGUGGGGAAUUUUGGACAGGGCGAAAGCCUGAUCCAGCAAUGCCGCGUGAGUGAAGAAGGCCUUCGGGCUGUAAAGCUUUUGUCAGGGAAGAAACGGUGAGGGCUAAUAUCUCUUGCUAAUGACGGUACCUGAAAUAAGCACCGGCUAACUACGUGCCAGCAGCCGCGGUAAUACGUAGGGUGCAAGCGUUACGGAAUUACUGGGCGUAAAGCGUGCGCAGGCGGUUUUGUAAGUCUGAUGUGAAAUCCCGGCUCAACCUGGGAAUUGCAUUGGAGACUGCAAGGCUAGAAUCUGGCAGAGGGGGGUAAUUCCACGUGUAGCAGUGAAAUGCGUAGAUAUGUGGAGGAACACCGAUGGCGAAGGCACCCCUGGGUCAAGAUUGACGCUCAUGCACGAAAGCGUGGGGAGCAAACAGGAUUAGAUCCUGGUAGUCCACGCCCUAAACGAUGUCUACUAGUUGUCGGGUCUUAAUUGACUUGGU